GAUGAACGCUGGCGGCGUGCCUAACACAUGCCAGUCGAACGAAGCACCUUACCUGAUUCUUCGGAUGAAAGUUUGGUGACUGAGUGGCGGACGGGUGAGUAACGCGUGGGUAACCUGCCCUGUACAGGGGGAUAACAGCUGGAAACGGCUGCUAAUACCGCAUAAGCGCACGAGGAGACAUCUCCUUGUGUGAAAAACUCCGGUGGUACAGGAUGGGCCCGCGUCUGAUUAGCUGGUUGGCAGGGUAACGGCCUACCAAGGCAACGAUCAGUAGCCGGUCUGAGAGGAUGAACGGCCACAUUGGAACUGAGACACGGUCCAAACUCCUACGGGAGGCAGCAGUGGGGAAUAUUGCACAAUGGGGGAAACCCUGAUGCAGCAACGCCGCGUGAGUGAAGAAGUAUUUCGGUAUGUAAAGCUCUAUCAGCAGGGAAGAUAAUGACGGUACCUGACUAAGAAGCGCCGGCUAAAUACGUG
This 477-nucleotide ribosomal RNA is filed under the name uncultured bacterium. Its description in RNAcentral is "partial 16S ribosomal RNA". It matches the Rfam family "Bacterial small subunit ribosomal RNA", at positions 28 to 507 of the family's 1533-position model. The record is from RNAcentral.